RNAcentral lists this long non-coding RNA (2860 nucleotides) under Homo sapiens (human). RNAcentral's name for it is "HSALNT0394016". The record is from RNAcentral. Lineage: Eukaryota; Metazoa; Chordata; Mammalia; Primates; Hominidae.
ACCCUCUUUAUUUUACAGAUACAGCUUCUGAGGAUCACGGGGAUGAAAGGCAUGAACUGGGCUCACACAGCUAAUGCAUUAGGACACCAGAAAAGGAAGAAAAGACAGUGGCAGCUGAAGACAUUUCAGGAAUGCUUCACUGAGAACCUAAGUCUUGUUCUGGGCCAUAAAGAAAAGGGGAGGGUGUGGUUUCUAUACCAGAGAUAAGAAAGGAGAAAAUUGGACGUGGAGGAAAGAUAUGAGUACCAAUCCGAGCGAACAAGGAAGAGUGAGUAAAUCUGUCCAGCUGGAGUUGGAGUGAAAAAGGUGCCUGCUUCUCCUUCUGCCAUGAUUAUAAGUUUCCUGAGGCUUCCCCAGCCAUGCGUAACUGAGUGAGGACCUAGAAUUUUAAUGUCUAAUAUGCGGUGUGAAUUAAAGAAGCGGCCUUGCUAUGCUGACCUUUUCAAUAUUCUAAUCUUUGCUUUGCUGACCUCUCAGGCCUCUUCCUGGCAACAGUUAGGCUUUUGAGAGGAGAGAGAGCUGAGACUGUUGGCUCCUUCCCAUUUAUGAGAGAGCCACAUGACAUCAGCCCAUAGACUGUGGAGAGUAUUCCAGAUCUAUCACAUUCUGCGAUUCUGCGAUUCCCAGAAGGCUGGUCAUGAAAAAAUUCCCUCUUCAGUUUACAUAUAUGGCAGUGGCACUUCUAGAUAUCUGUUGAGGCCUGGAAGGGGCAAAACAAUUCAGGAAGCAGUUGAAGAUAAAGGGGUUUACCAUGGAAGAGAAGAUCCAGGUGCCUUCAUGGAAAUGCUUGUGGUUGAAAAGAGAUGAAGAUGAGGGUCCCUGGAAAGAGGAAGAACCAGCCAGGAAAAUUAUACCAUUAGCAAGACUGGCAUCAGCAAGUAGUUCGCAGUGUUGGUUGUUCUUGGUUUCGCAGGAUUUUAUAGGAGAUGGACCUUCUCCUAAAAGUCUUAUCUUCUAAGUCUCCUAAGUCUUGGACUUUUCAAGGCCAAAGAUUUAAAGGCCAAGUGGACCAUACGGGAGAUCUAGUUUCCCAUCCAGACAGCCAAGCUCAUGCAUCCCUGGAUUUGGAUGGAUGGUUUCCCAUGGGGCCUUGGACAGAUUGGACCCAGCACUGGCACAGGGUUGACUUGGAGGAAUAAGCUCCUGGAAACCUCAAUUAGCGUUUGGGGUAUGAACAUUAAACAAUACUGAAUCUGGAAACAAUACAUCACACAGCGGGUCCAAGGAAAUAAGCAGAAGGCUGGCAGCAGGCCAGGGCCAGGGGCCAAAUCGCUCCUCAAAGACAAUUCUUCAUGGAGAAAUGACAGCAGGUUUGAGGACAGCAGAAUUUCGCUCUUGUUGCCCAGGGCUGGAGUGCAAUGGUGCAAUCUCGGCUCACCACAACCACUGCCUCCUGGGUUCAAGCGAUUCUCCUGCCUCAGCCUCCUGAGUAGCUGGGAUUACAGGAAGUACAAAAACAUCCUUGCCGUUUGCUGGAAUGAUGUACUGCUGAAGGCAAUGGACACUGGGGUUGUUUGUCCCUAAUCACAAGUGAGCAAUACCAGAUCUAUUAUCUCAGGUUCAGAGAAGUGAGGUGUCUGACCUUCAGACAGGAUUGAAUGCAGAGUAAAAUAAUUCCAAAUAUGGUCUGGGCAUUGCAUGUAAUACAGAGUAAAAGUUAUUGUAAGACACUUUCGCCAGUUUCUGUCACUUGGUUCCUCAAAUGUUUAGUUCAUUCUAAUUACAUAAUCAGCCUUCUGAUUCAAUGAAGACUGAUGGGAUUGCUGACUUGCCACCCUGGAGUUCAGUUGGCAGCAAGUGAGGGAAAAGGUGAACUCUGUAAACAAGGUUUAGAAGCCCUUUUCUUAACUCUUUAUAAAACAGAGAAGAUGAGGAAGGAGAAAGGCACUGUCAUUAAGCUCUUAGCCAGGGAAUUACACAUACACACACGUGUGUGUGUGUGUAUUUCAACUCAAUGUACAAGGACUUCUCAGCCCAUAGCUACUUUGAACACAUUGUUUAUCCCCCAUAGCAUGAAGGACUAAAGGAACCAGAGAUUUCAUAAUCUCUGGCCUGUAACGUUUUUGCUGAAAUAUCUGCUGUUAUUCUAAUGGGGUUUCCUUUAAAGGUGACUAGUCACUCUUCUUUUGCUAAUUAAUUUUUUUUUUCACUUUGACUUUAGACAUUCUGAAUAUAAUAUGCUAUGAUGAAGCACUUUAUGCAAUGUAUAUUCCUGAGGAUUGCUGGGCCUCCUGUAACUAGAUGUCUGACUCUCUUGCUAGAUGUGGAAAGUUUUCAUCAAUUAUUUUCUUAAACAGGUUUUCUAAGCUUUUAAAUAAUCUUUCUUUCCCAUCAGGAAUACCAAUAAUUUCUAAUUUCAGUCACUUUAUGUAGUCCCAGACAUCUCAAAGGCUUUGUGCACUCCCUUUUAUACUUUUUUGUUGUCGUUAUCUUUGUCUUACUGGAUUAUUUCAAAAGACUUAUCUUCAAGUUCUGAGAUUCUUUCUUCUGCUUGAUCUAUUCUGUUAUUGAAGCUUUCAAAUACAUUUUGCAUUUCCUUCAAUAGUUUUUUUAGGUUUAGAUUUUCUGCUUUUGCUUUAUAAGAUACCCAUCUCCUUGAUACAUUUCUCAUUAAUAUCCUGAGUUAAUUUUCUAAUUUCUUGAAGUUGGCCCAAGGGUGGAAUGCAGCCCCGUGUUAAACUCUCAAAACUGUGCCUUGGGCCUGUGACCAGACAGAGCAGAUUUCUUCUCAAGUAAGUAGCAUAGAAAAGAGAGAUCCAAAUAAACACAAUCAUAAAUGAAAAAGGAGACAUUAUAGCUGAUAACACAGAGGCACAAAGAUCAUCAGAGACUAUUAUAAAUAACUAUAUGAUCACAAACC